RNAcentral lists this non-coding RNA (187 nucleotides) under Rhizobium sp. EC-SD404. The record is from RNAcentral. Lineage: Bacteria; Pseudomonadati; Pseudomonadota; Alphaproteobacteria; Hyphomicrobiales; Rhizobiaceae.
GUCACCAAUCGUUGCGACGGUGCCUUGAGUUUCAAGGUGAAACGGGAAGCCGGUGAAAAGCCGGCGCCGCCCCCGCGACUGUCAGGGACGACGCCCCUUCAUCAUGCCACUGGUGUGCUUCUUGCAUCGGGAAGGCGGAGGGGAUUGGUCCCGAGCCAGGAGACCGGCCGUCAGCCACGCGGCAAAG